Molecule: ribosomal RNA, 862 nt
Filed under: uncultured archaeon
Lineage: Archaea
Description: bacterial SSU rRNA
Rfam family: Archaeal small subunit ribosomal RNA
Source: RNAcentral
UCCGGUUGAUCCUGCCGGAGGCCACUGCUAUCGGAGUUCGAUUAAGCCAUGCGAGUCGAGAGGUGCAAGACCUCGGCAUACUGCUCAGUAACACGUGGAUAACCUACCCUCAGGAGGGGGAUAACCCCGGGAAACUGGGGAUAAUACCCCAUAGACUAUGGAAGCUGGAAUGCUCUGUAGCUGAAAGGUUUACCGCCUGAGGAUGGGUCUGCGGCCGAUUAGGUUGUUGUUGGGGUAACGGCCCAACAAGCCUGUAAUCGGUACGGGUUGUGGGAGCAAGAGCCCGGAGAUGGAUUCUGAGACACGAAUCCAGGCCCUACGGGGCGCAGCAGGCGCGAAAACUUUGCAAUGCGGGAAACCGUGACAAGGGAACUCCGAGUGCCCGUAAAUUCGGGCUGUCCAUCAGUGUAAAUAACUGGUGAAGAAAGGGCCGGGCAAGACCGGUGCCAGCCGCCGCGGUAAUACCGGCGGCUCGAGUGGUGGCCACUAUUACUGGGCUUAAAGCGUCCGUAGCUGGUCUGUUAAGUCUCUGGGGAAAUCUACCGGCUUAACCGGUAGGCGUCUCAGGGAUACUGGCAGACUAGGGACCGGGAGAGGUGAGGGGUACUCCAGGGGUAGGAGUGAAAUCCUGUAAUCCUUGGGGGACCACCUGUGGCGAAGGCGCCUCACCAGAACGGCUCCGACAGUGAGGGACGAAAGCUGGGGGAGCAAACCGGAUUAGAUACCCGGGUAGUCCCAGCUGUAAACGAUGCGCGUUAGGUGUAUCGGUGACCACGAGUCACCGAGGUGCCGAAGGGAAACCGUGAAACGUGCCGCCUGGGAAGUACGGUCGCAAGGCUGAAACUUAAAGGAAUUGGCGGGA